CCUACGGGAGGCUGCAGUAACGAAUCUUCCGCAAUGCGCGAAAGCGUGACGGGGUAAUGCCGCGUGCAGGAUGAAGCCCCUCGGGGUGUAAACUGCUGUCAGGAACCAGGAACGCAAUGACCAGUUCCAGAGGAAGAGCCGGCUAACUCUGUGCCAGCAGCCGCGGUAAUACAGAGGGCUCAAGCGUUAAUCGGAAUCACUGGGCUUAAAGCGAGCGUAGGCGGAUCGGUAGGCACGUUGUGAAAGCCCACGGCUCAACCGUGGAAUUGCAGCGUGAACCCCCGAUCUUGAGGCGAGUAGAGGUAGCCAGAACGAUAGGUGGAGCGGUGAAAUGCGUAGAGAUCUAUCGGAAUGCCGAAGGUGAAGACAGGCUACUGGGCUCGAACUGACGCUGAGGCUCGAAAGCGUGGGGAUCAAACGGGAUUAGAUACCCUGGUAGUC
This 441-nucleotide ribosomal RNA is filed under the name uncultured bacterium. RNAcentral's name for it is "bacterial SSU rRNA". It matches the Rfam family "Bacterial small subunit ribosomal RNA", at positions 338 to 795 of the family's 1533-position model. The record is from RNAcentral.